Papaver somniferum (opium poppy) is the source of this 1791-nucleotide long non-coding RNA. RefSeq lists it as uncharacterized. The transcript is spliced from 10 exons. The record is from RefSeq and is a predicted model, not a curated record. Lineage: Eukaryota; Viridiplantae; Streptophyta; Magnoliopsida; Ranunculales; Papaveraceae.
UCUCACCAAAACACCACCGCAAGCGAAAAUCCUCUUUCUCCUCACCACUUACCAUCAUCACUCAACUCUUUCUCUGAAGUCAAGUGAGAUGAUGACUCUAAACUUGAUAAUUAAACAACCAUGAUCUAUCGAUCUUUCACUUGUGAUUUUUCAGAGAUGAAAACCCUAGCCGUUUCUCCACUUUACAUACUUUUUGCAAGAUGAUUUUCUUUCUGUAAUUUGAACUGAUUUCAAUUCAAAUCUGUUUUUCGCUGAGUUUCAGACACUCCAAAUUUCAGAUAGGGCAUCUGUUUAGGUAAGGUUUACGGAUCUUUAGCUCGUGAUGGAAAGGUUAGAGGGAAAACUCUAGCUAAACUAGACAAGAAAACCAGCCUAGAGGUAGAGCUCACAUGAGGAAUCUAAUAACUGCCGAGUACUCUCCUAAGAAGGCCAAUGGUGGUGCAACAACCCAAGACUUUUGUAGUUAUGGUGGACAACACUCUCAUGGCCUGGAGCAAAGGAAGAAUACAUGCAACCAAACACAGAGUAAUGGUGAAGGAGAAAAGAAAGAUUCUCGACUCAAUGCUACAACAUCCUCCAAACGCAAAAUGUUGUUGGAGUAUUGGAUUGUUAUAGUGCAAGGGUUCAAGCAACGUGCAACAGGAAUCAUGGAUGAUCCAUAUCUAAUCCCUGAUAUGUAUCUGAUAAGAAGCAGUUGCCUGUAGGUAAUAUUAAGAAAUGCAAACUCCUUUAAACACUAAUUUGGUUUGGUUACUUUGCUUUUAUCUGCCAAACAGCAUCCUCAAGCAUCAAUAAUAAGCCGAUGUCAUAGAAUUUGUUGUUUUACUAGUACUAGAUAGUAUAUCUUUCUGGUUUUAAUUUGAGAAAAUGAAUAUCAGUAUAUGCUAAUGUCAUGUCAAUUUCUUAAUCUGAUUGUUCCAAUUGUUUUUCAGAGGCCAAAGUCCAAAGUUUUUAUUUUUCAUAUUAUAUUCUGUGACUGUGAGAUCAUAAUGACGCAGCCUGUUUGGUGUUUGCAUUUACACCCUAACCGCACAAUAUUCGAGGAGUUAGACUGAACCUGGUAGUGCGUAUAAAAAAUGUUGUUUUAAACCAUAAGAGUUGCAAGUUUCUUAAGAUUUUGAGCCCCACUUUUUUACGAGGAUAUCGUGAGUAAAAUGUUUAUGGUACGAGUUGCAGGUGCAAGGGUUCAAGCAACAUGCAACAGGGAACAUGGAUGAUCCAUAUCUAAUCCCUGGUAUGUAUCUGAUAAGAAGCAGUUGCCUGUAGGACUUGCUCGGAAACUUGUUCGAAGACCCUUUUUGAGGCGGGUGGUGUUCCCUGUAAAAUGGCGGAAAGCAUGUGGCUCCAUACUCAUCUUAUCCAAGAUUUGAUCUCUAUUUCUCGAACAAGUGUUCCUAAAUACCGAGGCUGGUGUUGUGAAAUUGGAUACUUCGUUGUCGUUGAUGACUUAGAGCUCGACUAAUUUCCAGUGAGACCAUGAAGUGGGUGUUGCUCUCUUAGCAACUGAUGGAAAAUCAAAGUGGGAGAAGAAACUUGGACAUUGUGGUUUUCAUUGUAGUUUUCUUAUGGCAUCCUUUUCCAGCCAACGGCGGAAAAUCUGAAUUACUACAACUCCGAAUCCAGAAAUGCUACUUAAAUGUAUGAAUUCAUUAUAAUUGAAUACUUUUUUUUUUUUUGUGAUUUUGAAUCCAAGUAUGAAUUCAGUUAUGAAGUGUUAUGAGUUCAGUCAUGAAUAGAUGUAACAAUGAACUUCUAUUUGAAUUUAUGAAUCCAGGUCUGAUUUUAGUGUAA